AUACGUAGGGGGCGAGCGUUGUCCGGACUGAUUGGGCGUAAAGGGCGCGUAGGCGGCGCGGUAAGCCUGGAGUGAAAGUCUGCUUUCAAGGUGGGAAUUGCUUUGGAUACUGCCGCGCUUGAGUGCAGGAGAGGUCAUCGGAAUUCCCGGUGUAGCGGUGAAAUGCGUAGAGAUCGGGAGGAACACCAGUGGCGAAGGCGGGUAACUGGACUGCAACUGACGCUGAGGCGCGAAAGUGUGGGGAGCAAACAGGAUUAGAUACCCUGGUAGUCCACACUGUAAACGAUGAAUGCUAGGUGUAAGAGGUAUCGACCCCUUUUGUGCCGGAGUCAACACAAUAAGCAUUCCGCCUGGGGAGUACGGCCGCAAGGUUGAAACUCAAAUGAAUUGACGGGG
RNAcentral lists this ribosomal RNA (396 nucleotides) under uncultured bacterium. Its description in RNAcentral is "partial 16S ribosomal RNA". It matches the Rfam family "Bacterial small subunit ribosomal RNA", at positions 523 to 918 of the family's 1533-position model. The record is from RNAcentral.